AUGUCAUUAUCAAGUUUGUGUGGCCUGUGUGGGGAUGAAGACUCUUGGCGUCAUUCAAUACUUGAGUGCUCAAUGGCAAGAUGUUUGUGGACCCUGGUGGAUGGAGAACUCGCAGAACAUCUUUGCGAGACUACCGAACCGAGUGCCAAGCAACGGAUCUUUUUGAUGAUAGACACGUUAUCGCAUGCGGCGUUUGUUAAGGUAGAUGUGACGCUGUGGGCAGUAUGGUGGGCCAGAAGGAAAAUUCCCAGUGUCCCGAAUCGGCAGGCAAGUCGAACUACCCGACCAAAAGCUCCUCCACCCGGUUACUCAAAGAUCCAUGUUGAUGCUGGAUUAGCAAGGGGGCAAACCAGAGGUUCAGCAGCUGCAGUGCGUAGGGAUGAUCACGGAAAUUUUUUGGGCAGCUCGGCACUGGUCGUUUAUGGUAUAAUGAACGUUGCUACUCUGGAAUCAGUUGCAUGUAGGGAGGCACUAUCUUUGGCUGAAGACUUACAGAAACUUUAUCAUAGCUUCGGAUUCUAA
RNAcentral lists this ribosomal RNA (522 nucleotides) under Triticum aestivum (bread wheat). RNAcentral describes it as "partial small subunit ribosomal RNA". Lineage: Eukaryota; Viridiplantae; Streptophyta; Magnoliopsida; Poales; Poaceae. The record is from RNAcentral.